CUUAAUAUAUUAUUAUUUAUUAAUAAUUAAUAAUAUAUUAUCUUCGAUCUUCCGUGUCCGAUGUACCAGAGAGUAGAUACCAGUAUCCGAUGUCAAUGACCAGUAUUUCAUCUAUUUGUUGUCAGCAAUUCUCUGGUCCCAUCGAGAUAAAUAAACAUUACGAAAAAUUGUUGCUUACUAAAUACUUUGUGAACGGUUGGGGUGAUCCUGAAAAACUUAAAAGUUUGUUUCAGUUUAGAAAUCAUAUUAUAGAUCGAGACUCCUGUUUUAAACUUGUAUCAGCUGAUUAUCCUGUAAAAAUUGUUAAAAAAAAGGAAGAUUCCGAUUCAAUAACAUUAGAAGGAGUAUUUCAAUCACCUUUUUCUUAUUAUCUUCCAGAUAUAGUGCCAAAAGAGAGUCACCUUGCACAUUUCCAAGUUUUGUUACCAAAAAAAUGGCCUUCCAAAAAUGUAAAACCUAUGUGUGUACACAUGGCUGGCACAGGAGAUCAACAUUAUUGGAGAAGACGAGCUAUGUUAGCAAAACCACUUUUAAAAGAAGCAGCGAUAGGAUCAAUCAUAUUAGAAAAUCCAUUCUAUGGAAAAAGAAAACCAAAUAACCAAGUUAGGUCUAUUUUAUGCAAUGUUUCCGAUAUUUUUGUAAUGGGAGGUUGCUUAAUAUUGGAAUCCCUUGUAUUAUUUCAUUGGUGUGAACGUGAGGGAUUUGGACCUAUCGGUGUCACUGGUUUAUCAAUGGGCGGACAUAUGGCUUCACUAGCUGCUGCAAGUUGGCCAAAGCCAAUUGUUCUUGUUCCUUGUUUAUCCGGUACAACAGCUUCUGGAGUAUUUACGGAGGGUGCUAUAAGCUGUGCUAUUGAUUGGAAUUUACUUGAACAACAAUAUAAAUCAAAUUCUGUAUAUAAAAAUGAAGUUGUGAACAUUGAUAAUGAAGUCAACAAGUUGAAUGUAAAAUUUAAUGCCGGUAAACAAUUUAUAAAAGAUAUGAAUAUUGAUUCACAUUUUAACAUCCAGUCAAAUUUUAUGCUUGAUGAUUCAAAAAAUGAUAAGAGUUCAUUAAACAUAUGUCAACCUCAACAGUCAAAUAAAUUAAAAUUAACCAAUGUAUUCGAUAAUUUGGAUGAUUCGUCAAUUGAAGAAGACAAUGAAUUACAAAUUAAAAAGGACUUAAAACAAACUAGACACAUGAUGAGAUUUUUCAAUAAACAUUCAAAAAGUGAAGAUUUAAAUUUAGAAGCAUUAAGCUUUAUGAAAGGUAUUAUGGAUGAAUGUACUCAUUUAAAAAAUUUCAAAUCUCCUGUUGAUCUGGACUUAGUAAUAGCAGUUUGUGCAAAACGUGAUGGUUAUGUACCUCAACAUACCAUGGAUAAAUUAGAAGAUAUUUGGCCUGGUGCAGAGGUCAGAUAUGUCAACACAGGACAUGUAGCGGCUUUUAUACUUCACCGAAAUACAUUCAAAUGCUGAGCGGAGCGAGGAAUGUAAUGGUUUUACAAUGAUAUUUAUGAACUUUUUCUCCCUCUAAACUUGCUCAAAAGUAUCAAGUAUAGCAUCUUUUCUGAAAGAACUGCAAUAAUUGAAGCAUUUCAACGAGCUCAAAAAAAAUAUUAUGAUAAAUCUUUAUAAUUGUGUGAUAAAUCAGAGGUUUGACAUUUAAUUGGAGUGAUUAAUUUAAUAUAAGACACUAUUGUGUCACUAUUGUGUUAUUUAGAUUAUCUGUGGUUCGCGUUGAACAAAUCACCCCAUGCCCCCCUUACAACACUAUUUUUAUGAAUAUAUUGUAUAGAGUUUUUUUAUUGUAAUAUUAAAUUUGCCUGUACAAACUACAAUGUGAUCCUUGUCAUUUUAUACACCGAGGACCAACACAAAUAAAGUUAUGUUUUUUUUUU
Molecule: RNA transcript, 1882 nt
Organism: Metopolophium dirhodum (rose-grain aphid)
Lineage: Eukaryota; Metazoa; Arthropoda; Insecta; Hemiptera; Aphididae
Gene name: protein ABHD18
Exons: 12
Source: RefSeq, a predicted model, not a curated record